CCUACGGGUGGCAGCAGUGGGGAAUAUUGGACAAUGGGCGAAAGCCUGAUCCAGCCAUGCCGCGUGUGUGAAGAAGGCCUUCGGGUUGUAAAGCACUUUCAGUGGGGAAGAAAGCCUUGGGGCUAAUACCCUCGAGGAAGGACAUCACCCACAGAAGAAGCACCGGCUAACUCCGUGCCAGCAGCCGCGGUAAUACGGAGGGUGCGAGCGUUAAUCGGAAUUACUGGGCGUAAAGCGCGCGUAGGCGGUCUGAUAAGCCGGUUGUGAAAGCCCCGGGCUCAACCUGGGAACGGCAUCCGAAACUGUCAGGCUAGAGUGCAGGAGAGGAAGGUAGAAUUCCCGGUGUAGCGGUGAAAUGCGUAGAGAUCGGGAGGAAUACCAGUGGCGAAGGCGGCCUUCUGGACUGACACUGACGCUGAGGUGCGAAAGCGUGGGUAGCAAACAGGAUUAGAUACCCCAGUAGUC
This 465-nucleotide ribosomal RNA is filed under the name Vreelandella stevensii. RNAcentral's name for it is "partial 16S ribosomal RNA". It matches the Rfam family "Bacterial small subunit ribosomal RNA", at positions 338 to 795 of the family's 1533-position model. Lineage: Bacteria; Pseudomonadati; Pseudomonadota; Gammaproteobacteria; Oceanospirillales; Halomonadaceae. The record is from RNAcentral.